AUUGAACGCUGGCGGCAGGCCUAACACAUGCAAGUCGAACGAGUGGCGGACGGGUGAGUAAUGUCUGGGAAACUGCCUGAUGGAGGGGGAUAACUACUGGAAACGGUAGCUAAUACCGCAUACCAUCGGAUGUGCCAAGAUGGGAUUAGCUCGUAGGUGGGGUAACGGCUCCCCUAGGCGACGAUCCCUAGCUGUUCUGAGAGGAGUACCAUCCACACUGGAACUGAGACACGGUCCAGACUCCUACGGGAGGCAGCAUUGGGGAAUAUUGCCCAAUGGGCGCAAGCCUGAUGCAGCCAUGCCGCGUGUAUGAAGAAGGCCGUCGGGUUGUAAAGUACUUUCAGCGGGGAGGCGUUACCCGCAGAAGAAGCACCGGCUAAGUCCGUGCCAGCAGCCGCGGUAAUAC
Molecule: ribosomal RNA, 406 nt
Filed under: uncultured bacterium
Lineage: Bacteria
Description: partial 16S ribosomal RNA
Rfam family: Bacterial small subunit ribosomal RNA
Source: RNAcentral